This 495-nucleotide ribosomal RNA is filed under the name uncultured bacterium. Its description in RNAcentral is "bacterial SSU rRNA". It matches the Rfam family "Bacterial small subunit ribosomal RNA", at positions 28 to 517 of the family's 1533-position model. The record is from RNAcentral.
GAUGAACGCUAGCUACAGGCUUAACACAUGCAAGUCGAGGGGCAGCGCGUCGUAGCAAUACGAUGGCGGCGACCGGCGGAAGGGUGCGUAACGCGUGAGCAACUUGCCCGUCACAGGGGGAUAACCGGUGGAAACGCCGACUAACACCCCGUAACACAUUUCGCCGCAUGGCGGGAUGUUGAAAACUCCGGUGGUGACGGAUAGGCUCGCGUGCCAUUAGCUAGUCGGCGGGGCAACGGCCCACCGAGGCGACGAUGGCUAGGGGUUCUGAGAGGAAGGCCCCCCACACUGGGACUGAGACACGGCCCAGACUCCUACGGGAGGCAGCAGUGAGGAAUAUUGGACAAUGGAGGCAACUCUGAUCCAGCCAUGCCGCGUGAAGGACUAAGGCCCUAUGGGCCGUAAACUUCUUUAGACGCAGAGCAAUAAGGGCCACGCGUGGUCCGAUGAGAGUAUGCGUAGAAUAAGCAUCGGCUAACUCCGUGCCAGCAGCCG